RNAcentral lists this long non-coding RNA (1196 nucleotides) under Equus asinus (donkey). RNAcentral's name for it is "lncRNA (ENSEASG00005037324.1)". The record is from RNAcentral. Lineage: Eukaryota; Metazoa; Chordata; Mammalia; Perissodactyla; Equidae.
GAUUCUUCAUUUACUAUGUAAUAACAACGACAACAAAACCAUAAUGUUAUUUUUAGAGUGCCUUUUAGUUCUCAAAAUGUUUACACCUACUUAAAGUUAAAACAAAACAAUGGGCUUUAAUUGGCUGAACAGGAAAUGCCUGGGCCCUUCCAGGCAAAGAGGAAUUUAACCAUGAUGAACGGGAAGUGUCUAGGCAGCCAUGUUUCUCACCCGUGUGUGUUGUUUUUAGUCAAUCCCAGUCAUUAAGAUUGACUAGAAGGAACAGACUAUAACUCUCUUGGUCAUCACCCUACGCAGAAAACAAAGCUUUCAGAAUCAGGACACAAAGGACUCAAAGUGGAGAGCAGAAGUGCAGCACGGAGGAAACGCAGAGAAGCCAUUUCUAGGAGCAGUUCGAUAAAGAAAGGAAAGGACAUGAACUUUGAAGUUAAGAAGGCCGGGGUUUGAACUCACUGAUUAGUUACUUGACUUUGGGAAGGAGAUAACCAGUGGAGCACUAUCCCAGGAGAAUCACAGCACCAAGUGCCGGAAGAGGCAAUAGCAUCGGUCAAUAAGGGAGAAGCUUCUCCUUUGAGAAUAUAGCAAAGGAAGAGAAGGGAGAUGAGACAAAUUUGAGAGCUCACUCUUGUCUCCCAGCUAACAUCACCUGAAAUGAAAACCUUUUCCUUUCCAUAAGCCUGGUGUUCCAGUUUUGAUUUGGCCCUUCUGUGUGGUAGGCAAAGAACCUAUGUUUGCAUCUGCUAACAAUUUGGCAAGCUAGCCAGCAGGCUCCACGGCCCCAGAUUUAAGAAAAUCUUUUUCUCUUAAGGAAAUAUGACUGACAGCAAUUUGUAAGCAAAAUUGAAGUAUUUAUCUUUUUCUCCCUACCUGAUCCCUCCAGAAAUUGGAAACUCUUGCUUCCUGGCACAGGAAUCCAGCAUCCACUAUGGAGCCAAACAACCACAGACAUCCACCUGCAAAUUCCCUUAUCUCACCAUCCUCCUCCUUGCAAGCAGCCUCAAAGGGACAAAUGCAGACUGGUGGGGAAGCACCAAUUAGCAAGGCCACAGGCUUCCCCUCCCUACAAGCAGCUGCAUUCCUCACAACCUUUAAAACCCCUUGCCUCCCAUCUUUCAGGGAGAUGAGACAAAUUUGAGGGCUCACUCUUGUCUCCCAGCUGACAUCAGCCAAAAUAAAAACCCUUUCUUUGCCAUAAA